Molecule: ribosomal RNA, 495 nt
Filed under: uncultured bacterium
Lineage: Bacteria
Description: partial 16S ribosomal RNA
Rfam family: Bacterial small subunit ribosomal RNA
Source: RNAcentral
UGAACGCUGGCGGCGUGCCUAAUACAUGCAAGUAGACCGCUGAAGCUUGGUGCUUGCACCGAGCGGAUGAGUUGCGAACGGGUGAGUAACGCGUAGGUAACCUGCCUCUUAGCGGGGGAUAACUAUUGGAAACGAUAGCUAAUACCGCAUAAAAGUCGACAUCGCAUGAUGUUGACUUGAAAGGUGCAAUUGCAUCACUAAGAGAUGGACCUGCGUUGUAUUAGCUAGUUGGUGAGGUAACGGCUCACCAAGGCGACGAUACAUAGCCGACCUGAGAGGGUGAUCGGCCACACUGGGACUGAGACACGGCCCAGACUCCUACGGGAGGAAGCAGUAGGGAAUCUUCGGCAAUGGGGGCAACCCUGACCGAGCAACGCCGCGUGAGUGAAGAAGGUUUUCGGAUCGUAAAGCUCUGUUGUAAGAGAAGAACGAGUGUGAGAGUGGAAAGUUCACACUGUGACGGUAACUUACCAGAAAGGGACGGCUAACUACGUG